UACGGGGGGGCAAGCGUUGUUCGGAAUUACUGGGCGUAAAGGGCUCGUAGGCGGCCAACUAAGUCAUACGUGAAAUCCCUCGGCUUAACCGGGGAACUGCGUCUGAUACUGGAUGGCUUGAGUUCGGGAGAGGGAUGCGGAAUUCCAGGUGUAGCGGUGAAAUGCGUAGAUAUCUGGAGGAACACCGGUGGCGAAGGCGGCAUCCUGGACCGAUACUGACGCUGAGGCGCGAAAGCCAGGGGAGCAA
Molecule: ribosomal RNA, 247 nt
Filed under: uncultured bacterium
Lineage: Bacteria
Description: partial 16S ribosomal RNA
Rfam family: Bacterial small subunit ribosomal RNA
Source: RNAcentral